GGGUAAGUCUACUACGACCAGCUCCUUUUGAACUCCCCCAGGGUGGGAACGCAGCAAGGGUAGAAAGUUGUAGCGGUGCGAUAGGAGUAGCUUACCCACU
This 100-nucleotide signal recognition particle RNA is filed under the name Sphingobacteriaceae bacterium. RNAcentral describes it as "signal recognition particle sRNA small type". It matches the Rfam family "Bacteroidales small SRP". From Rfam's summary of the family: The non-coding component of the signal recognition particle in Bacteroides The record is from RNAcentral. Lineage: Bacteria; Pseudomonadati; Bacteroidota; Sphingobacteriia; Sphingobacteriales; Sphingobacteriaceae.